GACGAACGCUGGCGGCGUGCCUAAUACAUGCAAGUCGAGCGAAGUUUUUCUGGUGCUUGCACUAGAAAAACUUAGCGGCGAACGGGUGAGUAACACGUAAAGAACCUGCCUCAUAGUCUGGGACAACUAUUGGAAACGAUAGCUAAUACCGGAUAACAGUAUUUCUCGCAUGAGAGAUAUUUAAAAGUUGGUUAUGCUAACACUAUGAGAUGGCUUUGCGGUGCAUUAGCUAGUUGGUGGGGUAAAGGCCCACCAAGGCGACGAUGCAUAGCCGACCUGAGAGGGUGAUCGGCCACACUGGGACUGAGACACGGCCCAGACUCCUACGGGAGGCAGCAGUAGGGAAUCUUCCGCAAUGGGCGAAAGCCUGACGGAGCAACGCCGCGUGAGUGAAGAAGGAUUUCGGUUCGUAAAGCUCUGUUGUUAGGGAAGAAUGGAUAUGUAGUAACUAUACAUGUAAGAGACGGUACCUAACCAGAAAGCCACGGCUAACUACGUG
RNAcentral lists this ribosomal RNA (499 nucleotides) under uncultured bacterium. Its description in RNAcentral is "partial 16S ribosomal RNA". It matches the Rfam family "Bacterial small subunit ribosomal RNA", at positions 28 to 507 of the family's 1533-position model. The record is from RNAcentral.